RNAcentral lists this ribosomal RNA (1424 nucleotides) under Ophiocreas oedipus. Its description in RNAcentral is "16S ribosomal RNA". The stretch from base 718 to 1424 matches the Rfam family "Archaeal large subunit ribosomal RNA", at positions 1423 to 2911 of the family's 2987-position model. The record is from RNAcentral. Lineage: Eukaryota; Metazoa; Echinodermata; Ophiuroidea; Euryalida; Asteroschematidae.
UAGAAGAAAUUAUAGCGUUAUAUUAAAAUAUAAAUUUUUUUUGUUAAAGUUGUGUAAAAUAUUAUGCAGGAUUGUGAUUUAAUAGUAAUAUUUAUUAAAAUAAGUAAUUUUCAUGAGUAAAUACUGAGAAGGGAAGUUGAAGUAGAAGUUAAAUAUUAAUGGUGGGGGAGAAUUAUUAUUAUAAGUACCUUUUGUAUUAUGGGUGGUUAAAAAAAUUAAAGUGUUUAGUUUCUUUAUUAACGAAGUAGAGUGAGCUACCCUUUUCUUUAAAAUUGAUAAUAUCUCUUAUUGUAGAAUAAAUUAAGGGAAGAGAGAAAGGUAGAAGUGAAAUGCUUAUCGAACUCUAGGAUAGCUUUUUCUUAAGGAAGUAGGUGUUAGCUUACUUAAAAUUCUUUUUAAUUUAAGAAGAUUGGUUGACCAGUCUUCUUUUUGGGAAAAACCUUGUUAAUCUAAGGAAAACUACUAAUAAAGAAGUUAAUAGGUCAGAAUAAGUAGAUUUUGAGUAAAUCACUUUGGAAGUGUGUUUGAACUUUUUUUGGAGGACUUAUGAGAAUGAAUGAGGUUUUUAGUUGGUCUUGUUUAAGGUUUACUUAAGUGAUUCUAUUUUAGAAUACAAUUAUGGUUAUAUUAGUAAGUUUUUGUUCAAUUUAAAUAGUUAAAGAAUUAAAAGGGAAGUUGCAAUUACUUUUUAGUAAAAUAUAUUCUUAUUUUAGAGGACAAAAGAGUUUAAAAAAUGUAAAAAGGAACUCGGCAAAUAAGUUUCUCGCCUGUUUACCUAAAACAUCGCCUUUGGAAAAGAUCAUAGGUCCUGCCUGCCCGGUGAUUUUUAGAAUUAAACGGCUGCGGUACUCUGACCGUGCAAAGGUAGCAUAAUCAUUAGCCUGCUAAUUUCAGGCUGGAAUCAAUGGCAAGACGAAGAAAAAGCUGUCUCUUUACAUUUUAUUUGAAUUUUUCGUUUUGGUUAAGAGACCAAGAUAAUUUAGUGGGACGAGAAGACCCUAUUGAGCUUUAAUUUUAAAUUAGUGGAAGAGUCUAGUAUUAGGUUUUGGUUGGGGCAACGGUUUUUUUAAUUAGACAAAAGGGAUAGAGAAAUGAAUUAAUUCUUGUUUUGACCCAAGUGACAUAUUUUGGUAAAUAGAAAAAGUUACCAUAGGGAUAACAGCGUAAUUCUUUUUGAGAGUACUUAUUGACAAAAGAGUUUGCGACCUCGAUGUUGGAUCAGGUUUACCUAGAGGUGCAGCAGCUUCUAAGGGUUGGUUUGUUCAACCAUAAAAAACUUACGUGAUCUGAGUUCAGUCCGUUGUAAAACAGGACAGUUUCUAUCUACUAUUUUCCUUUUUCUUGUACGAAAGGACUUUGGAAGGAGAAAUAAAUUUUAAAGAAUUUUUCUUUGGGCUAUUUGUAUAAUAAAAAGAAUUAGUAAA